Hipposideros armiger (great roundleaf bat) is the source of this 1006-nucleotide long non-coding RNA. RefSeq lists it as uncharacterized. The transcript is spliced from 5 exons. Lineage: Eukaryota; Metazoa; Chordata; Mammalia; Chiroptera; Hipposideridae. The record is from RefSeq and is a predicted model, not a curated record.
CCUUCUAAGUGGAAACAGGCUGCUGCAGAGGAAAGUCGACUCCGGGCAGAACCCGGUGACUCUUGAUUCAUGUUCACCUCUGACCAAGACAGAAACACAGCUGUGGUUAUCAGAAAGCUGCUGGAUUCCCAGGCCAAGUGCGGUAACUGCUGGCACACGCGCAGUGCUCCAGACUGGGCCAGGACUGAGUGCCAAUCGACGGCUUCCCAAUAUUAUCUUCCAGUUGCUAGACUACACUGCUUUCCAGUACAUUAUUUGGAAUAUAAAAACUAAAAUGAUGGGUGCACUUGCAUGGUGAGUGACUCAGAGUGCCUUGGAAGCCACCUCCAAAGAACUAUAAGACCAAUGGCUGCUGACACAGACGCAAGAAUAAAACAACAUGGAGGAGACACAGUCCCAAGUGUACAGGGGACAGUGUAUACUGCUGACCUGGCAAUGUUCUCUGCGUGCAGGGCGAGCACAGGGAACCCCACGGUGGCCUGGACAGAGAUGGAGCAGGAGACGUUGGCGCUGCCCGAGCAAAUGUCUUCACUGGAAGAUUAUUGAUGCUGUUCUCCCUUCGCCUGACACCACAUUCAUUUCAAAUACAGAGGAAGAAUUUGUAGGCGGACUUUGGGAAUGAAACGGGCUAGACUUCUGAGGAUAAAUAUACCUGGGCCUCUCUAAUAACCAUUUUCAUACUUUUUUUUUUUUGCUAGACUUUAUUUUUUAGAGCAGUUUUAGGUUCAGAGCAAAACUGAGUGGAAAGCACAGAGAUUUCCCAUGUACCCUCUGUACCCCCACAGGCACAGCCUCCCCCACUAUGAGCAUCCCCCACCAGAUCGUACAUUUGUUACAGAUGAUGAACCUGUAUUGACACGUCACAUCAACCAAAGUCCAUAUGUCACAUUAGGGUUCACUCAUGGUGUUGGACAUUCUAUGGAUUUGGGCAAAUGUAUAAUGACAUGUAUCUACCACUGCAAGUAUCAGACAAAAAGUAGUUUCACUCCCUAAAAAUCCUCUCCCU